RNAcentral lists this non-coding RNA (27 nucleotides) under Rattus norvegicus (Norway rat). Lineage: Eukaryota; Metazoa; Chordata; Mammalia; Rodentia; Muridae. The record is from RNAcentral.
UGCAAUGGUAGGAAGUACCAGGGAUUG